RNAcentral lists this ribosomal RNA (117 nucleotides) under Sinocyclocheilus grahami. The record is from RNAcentral. Lineage: Eukaryota; Metazoa; Chordata; Actinopteri; Cypriniformes; Cyprinidae.
UUCAGCAGCCAUAUCACCCUGUAGCCCAAGACUGGUUGCCCACUGAAGCUAAGCAGGGCUGAGCCUGGUCAGUACCUGGAUGGGAGACCUCCUGGGAAAACUAGGUUGCUGUUGGAA